Molecule: long non-coding RNA, 618 nt
Filed under: Homo sapiens (human)
Lineage: Eukaryota; Metazoa; Chordata; Mammalia; Primates; Hominidae
Description: non-protein coding lnc-UGDH-2:2
Source: RNAcentral
UCCUGGCUUCAAGCGAUUCUCCUGCCUCAGCCUCCUGAGUAGCUGGGAGUAUAGGCACGUACCACCACACCCAGCUAAUUUUUUGUAUUUUUACUAGAGAUGGGUUUCACAGUGUUAGCCAGGAUGGUUUCGAUCUCCUGACCUCAUGAUCCGCCCGCCUCGGCCUCCCAAAGUGCUGAGAUUACAGGCGUGAGCCACUGUGCCCGGCCUCAAAAUCUUAAGAAAAGGUUCUUUUGGUGCAUGGAGUUUUACAUGGAAUAAAUUAGUGCCUCUGCAAUUUAAAUAUUUUUUACACAGAUUUGAUGCUGUGCAAAUGCCCUCUCCCCUUUUAGGUGUUGCUUGUUCAGUAUCUCAAGCCCAGAAAGAUGAAUUAAUCCUUGAAGGAAAUGACAUUGAGCUUGUUUCAAAUUCAGCGGCUUUGAUUCAGCAAGCCACAACAGUUAAAAACAAGGAUAUCAGGAAAUUUUUGGAUGGUAUCUAUGUCUCUGAAAAAGGAACUGUUCAGCAGGCUGAUGAAUAAGAUCUAAGAGUUACCUGGCUACAGAAAGAAGAUGCCAGAUGACACUUAAGACCUACUUGUGAUAUUUAAAUGAUGCAAUAAAAGACCUAUUGAUUUGG